Molecule: ribosomal RNA, 440 nt
Filed under: uncultured bacterium
Lineage: Bacteria
Description: partial 16S ribosomal RNA
Rfam family: Bacterial small subunit ribosomal RNA
Source: RNAcentral
CCUACGGGUGGCUGCAGUGGGGAAUAUUGCACAAUGGGGGAAACCCUGAUGCAGCGACGCCGCGUGAGGGAAGGAGUAUUUCGGUAUGUAAAACUCUAUCAGCAGGGAAGAGAAUGACGGUACCUGACUAAGAAGCCCCGGCUAACUACGUGCCAGCCGCCGCGGUCAUACGUAGGGGGCGAGCGUUAUCCGGGUUUACUGGGUGUAAGGGGAGCGUAGACGGUGCUGGAAGUCUGAAGUGAAAGCCCGUGGCUUAACCGCGGAACGGCUUUUGAAACUGUGGAACUGGAGUGCUGGAGAGGCAAGCGGAAUUCUUAGUGUAGCGGUGAAAUGCGUAGAUAUCAGGAGGAACACCAGUGGCGAAGGCGGCUUGCUGGACAGUAACUGACGUUGAGGCUCGAAAGCGUGGGGAGCAAACAGGAUUAGAUACCCUUGUAGUC